UACGUAGGGGGCUAGCGUUGUCCGGAUUUAUUGGGCGUAAAGAGCGUGUAGGCGGCCAAGUAGGUCCGGUGUGAAAACUCGAGGCUUAACCUCGAGAUGUCAUCGGAAACCAUUUGGCUAGAGGACGGGAGAGGAGCGCGGAAUUCCCGGUGUAGCGGUGAAAUGCGUAGAGAUCGGGAGGAAGGCCGGUGGCGAAGGCGGCGCUCUGGAACGUAUCUGACGCUGAGACACGAAAGCGUGGGGAGCAAGCAGG
RNAcentral lists this ribosomal RNA (253 nucleotides) under uncultured bacterium. RNAcentral describes it as "partial 16S ribosomal RNA". It matches the Rfam family "Bacterial small subunit ribosomal RNA", at positions 524 to 776 of the family's 1533-position model. The record is from RNAcentral.